RNAcentral lists this ribosomal RNA (492 nucleotides) under uncultured bacterium. Its description in RNAcentral is "partial 16S ribosomal RNA". It matches the Rfam family "Bacterial small subunit ribosomal RNA", at positions 29 to 507 of the family's 1533-position model. The record is from RNAcentral.
AGUGAACGCUGGCGGUAGGCCUAACACAUGCAAGUCGAACGGCAGCACAGUAAGAGCUUGCUCUUACGGGUGGCGAGUGGCGGACGGGUGAGGAAUACAUCGGAAUCUACUUUUUCGUGGGGGAUAACGUAGGGAAACUUACGCUAAUACCGCAUACGACCUACGGGUUAAAGCAGGGGAUCUUCGGACCUUGCGCGAUUGAAUGAGCCGAUGUCGGAUUAGCUAGUUGGCGGGGUAAAGGCCCACCAAGGCGACGAUCCGUAGCUGGUCUGAGAGGAUGAUCAGGCACACUGGAGCUGAGACACGGUCCAGACUCCUACGGGAGGCAGCAGUGGGGAAUAUUGGACAAAGGGCGCAAGCCUGAUCCAGCCAUACCGCGUGGGUGAAGAAGGCCUUCGGGUUGUAAAGCCCUGUUGUUGGGAAAGAAAAGCAGCAGGUUAAUACCCCGCUGUUCUGACGGUACCCAAAGAAUAAGCACCGGCUAACUUCGUG